This is a non-coding RNA of Rattus norvegicus (Norway rat), 374 nucleotides long. NCBI's taxonomy places the organism in Eukaryota, Metazoa, Chordata, Mammalia, Rodentia, Muridae. The record is from RefSeq and is a predicted model, not a curated record.
GCAAGAAGCAAAUUAUGAAGUAAACCUCUUGACCACCUCUCCCUGUGACCCUUCAGCAGGUAUCUAGCAAACUCCAACCUCAGAGAAUGUGGCAUCGAACUUGUUCUUCCCUCAAGUUCCCGGAUAUUAGAUUACCAACUUUUUAAAAGAAAGAAAGAAAAGAAAGGGGGCUGGAGAGAUGGCUCAGUGGUUAAAGGUGAUUGCUGCUCUUGAAGAGGACAAAAGUGUGGCUCCUGAUAACCACGGUUCCUUUGCGUCCAGAGAAUCUGAUGUCCUCUCUUCUGCCCUCAACUGGCACCUGCCCACACUUGAGUGUUCCUCCACACACACACAAUAAAUAAAUAAGUGAAAUAAAGAAUUUAAGAGAAUUAUAA